RNAcentral lists this non-coding RNA (20 nucleotides) under Oryzias latipes (Japanese medaka). Its record names the gene ola-miR-128. Lineage: Eukaryota; Metazoa; Chordata; Actinopteri; Beloniformes; Adrianichthyidae. RNAcentral also lists the same sequence under 4 other names. The record is from miRBase by way of RNAcentral.
UCACAGUGAACCGGUCUCUU